UCGCAAUGCCCGAAAGGGUGACGAAGCGACGCCGCGUGUGGGAAGAAGGCCUUCGGGUUGUAAACCACUGUCGGGAGUUAAGAAAUGCAAGAAUGUUAAUAGCGUUUUUGCUUGACUAAGGCUCCGGAGGAAGCCACGGCUAACUCUGUGCCAGCAGCCGCGGUAAUACAGAGGCGGCAAGCGUUGUUCGGAAUUAUUGGGCGUAAAGAGCACGUAGGCGGCUAUAUAAGUCGGUUGUGAAAGCCUUCCGCUCAACGGGAGAACAGCGUCCGAUACUGUGUGGCUUGAGUGUGGGAGGGGAGAGCGGAACUUCUGGUGGAGCGGUGAAAUGCGUAGAUAUCAGAAGGAACGCCGGCGGCGAAAGCGGCUCUCUGGCCCAUAACUGACGCUGAGUGUGCGAAAGCUAGGGGAGCAAACGGGAUUAGAUACCCCGGUAGUCCUAGCCGUAAACGAUGGGCACUAAGUAGAGGGGUUUU
This 476-nucleotide ribosomal RNA is filed under the name uncultured Planctomycetales bacterium. RNAcentral describes it as "bacterial SSU rRNA". It matches the Rfam family "Bacterial small subunit ribosomal RNA", at positions 366 to 832 of the family's 1533-position model. The record is from RNAcentral. Lineage: Bacteria; Pseudomonadati; Planctomycetota; Planctomycetia; Planctomycetales.